AUGUUUGCCAGACACUGGCCU
RNAcentral lists this unclassified non-coding RNA (21 nucleotides) under Mus musculus (house mouse). RNAcentral's name for it is "oocyte_clustered_small_RNA2483". The record is from RNAcentral. Lineage: Eukaryota; Metazoa; Chordata; Mammalia; Rodentia; Muridae.